Girardinichthys multiradiatus is the source of this 3048-nucleotide long non-coding RNA. RefSeq lists it as uncharacterized. Lineage: Eukaryota; Metazoa; Chordata; Actinopteri; Cyprinodontiformes; Goodeidae. The record is from RefSeq and is a predicted model, not a curated record. The transcript has 3 exons.
CCUCUCGCCCGUAGACUGCUGGAGAUAGACACCAGCUCCCCCGUGACCCACUAAUGAUGGAAAAUGAUGGACUGAAUUCAUAGCAUUUUCAAAGGUUUUGAUCACAAACAUUGUUUGAAUGAAAUUAUUUUUUAUUAUAUUGAAUAAUAAAAAGACAGAUUUCCCUCCAUAGGUGCCUCACUAACGGGUGAGAUAAUUCAGAUCUGUGCAAGAUUUAAUUUUCAAGGAAAGAAGAUAUUUCCCAUCGAGCCAGCUGUUCUGUUGGAUCUGAGUUCUGGUUCCUGAGUGGGUGAAGAGGAUCAGAGCGUCAGACAGAGAUGGUAAAAUAAAUCCAUCACUGUUUCCACCUCCCUGCAGCAGCACCAUCAAUCUCCAUCCCUCCUUAAACUCCGCCUUUGUUUGUCUGUAAAGUCACGACAAGCACGGCUCGGUGGGCGGUUCUGACGGCUCCUGUGUUCUUCAUUCAAAUCACAGAUUCUCUAUGCAGAUGAUCCAUGGAGGAUCUGAUUUCAUGCUGCAUAAUGAGGCUCAAACGGGUCGAGAUGAUACAUCCUUCACUUCUAUGCCUCAGAUUACAGACAGCCUCUGAUUACCAGAGGUUCUGAACUGAGCUCAGGAUAUGAACACAGACAUACUCUGAUGUUAAAGAAAAUGGAGCUCUGACCCAGCUUUCCACCAAGUUCUUUACAGAAAUACAAAGCUCUGCCAUUGCUCUGGUUCUGAUAAAAGCCUGGUUCAGCUUUUACUCUUACCCAGAAACAGAAGAAUCAAAAUGGCAUCUAAUUUGUUCUGGUAAUGUUAGGAGAAAUGAUCUGAAAGCUCCUCCGUGGCUGAUCUGGUCGAGGUCUUUUCCACGUAGCCUGCUGAGGUGUGAAGAUGCUGACGCCUGAAGCUCUGAUGACGAACAAUCGCUGUCACUUCAGCUCAGAGUGAGACAUCACUGUGGCCUUUACCGUCUCUGCCAGUGGGAAUAAACCAACACCAGGAGGUUUCCUCUCCUCCUUCUUCAAGUCUUUGAUUCAUGAAGAUCUGACCAGCAGAGUCCUGCUGCUUCAAAACUCAUCCAGCAAGUUCUACUGGAGCUCCUUUCAGAGGAGACGUUUCAUCCACGGUAUCCACUGCUGACAUACCUCCAAGCUGCCAACAGAUGUCACCAUAGAGCCAAGAUGGUGAGAUGAUUUGACACCAUGAGCACAUCUCCAUGACAACCAGAACCCUCAGCAGCUCAGAAGUAUAACACCGGUGGGUCCACUGCAACCCUGCUCCCAGGUUCGGUUCUAUAACACACUAAUUGAACAGUGAGGCCAGGUUCUUCUUGUCUGCUGCAAACAUUUGGGUUUGAUUUCACAACAUGAAUGUGAGACGAGAGCUCAACAUCUCAGCUUUAUUUCCAUCUGGAUUCGGUACACAGCUCAGAAGAUCACAAGAGUUCUACCAGAACAUCACGUCUGGAGCUGACAGGUUUUUGUUGUUACCCAGGUGUGUCCUGUCAGACCCAUCAGCUGAAUAUCUGCUCUCUUCUGGGUCCUGGUCUGUGCAGACUUGUAGUUGGAGGUGGAACAUCGUGAAAACCAGAGUACCAUCUGCUGGUGAAAAUCCAUGGGACUAAUCCCCCAAAACAAGCUGCAGGAGCCGAGAUGGUCUGAGAUCUUCCAGUGAAGAACAGGACCAGAGCCGUACGUUUGUCUGCCUGCAGAUAGAGGAGCUUCCAGAACAAUUAGUGAAGGUGAAUCAUAUUCAUGGACUUCAUCAGCCCCUCAACCUGUCUCCUGUCUCUGCUCCUCCCAUCCCUGCAGUGAUGAGAGGACCUCUAAGGCCUGUCGUUUCUGAGGGUGAAGCUCUGAGGUCUGAGGAUGGAAACAGGAACUGAGAAACCACAUUGCAUGUCAGUAAUCAGAAUAUCUGAUAAGGUCCUCCUCUGGCAUUCUAACAAUGCUGGAGCUUGUUCUACUGGCAGUGAUGUCCAGCAUCUAAAUGUCUUCACCUUCAGCAGCAAGGCUUUAAUGGCUCUCAGUAGAAGAAGCAGGAGCAGCGGGACAGAAGACCUCCUGAUCUGAUGUUAUCUCAGAAACUAAAGAUCUGCUCUUCAGCUGCAUCUGUGUUUCUGUGGAAGCAGAAGGUGUGAGGAGCAUCAUCUCCCUGCAGCAAGCAAACACCUGAAAAGGCCCUUUUCUUUGGCCAUAGUGCCACCUGGUGGUCAGUUGUAACACUUUAAUUUCCCUUAAAAUCCAGAACACAAAAACUGCAGAUUAGGAUGAAAAAUUAUUUUAAUAGAACUGUUUGUGUCGUGUUUUUAUUGCUCUCUUUUUCUCUCCUGAUUCUCUAUAAAUUUAACAUCUUUCUCACAUCCUAUCAUCACAUGUUAUCCUGUAUUUGAUCUCCUUAUUCUUUAAACAGUUUGUUCCAUCAGAUCAAACCGGAACAGAACCGUUUCCGAACCCCAUGAUGAUAAUGAUCCGAUCCAUCUGUUCAGAUUCUAGACCAGACGUUUUGAUUUUAAAAUGUUCUUUAUAAAACUUAUCUAUUUCAAUUUUUCUGUUGAGAUGAAAAAUAAUAAACAAUAUUUGAUAAAUAAAACAGUAAAGAAUUAGACCAACAACAUAAAAUCAAAAUUCUAACUAGAUUGUUGAUUUAUUUGAAUUUAUCAAAAAAUUCUUAAGCACAUAUUUUUGUUGUAUGAAUGUUUUAACUCUGUUCUUCUAUUGGCUGCAGUCAGUUACUGGCAGCUUUGUGAGCCAAUCAGAUUUAAGCUCUAUGACGCUUCAUGCAUCCUGAGUAGAAAGGUCUCAGAGAAAGAAGAAUAUCAUGAAAGUGCUCCUCAGCUCUGCAGCUGAUGAUGUGGCAGUGAUGUUCCAGCAGCACACGUGUUCCUCUGUAAAGUUCGGAGUUUUAACCAUAAUGCUCCUGUCCUGGUGUUGACACGAGUCUCUUUACACUAAAGGCAUCAUCACAGUUUUAUUGACACUACGUGUCCAAACUGUGGAUUCUUGUGGCCGCCUCAUUUUCAAUUGAGACGAUAUGAAACAUUUUAAUUUGUUACAUUUUGAU